Amphiprion ocellaris (clown anemonefish) is the source of this 1313-nucleotide long non-coding RNA. The record is from Ensembl. Lineage: Eukaryota; Metazoa; Chordata; Actinopteri; Pomacentridae.
CCGUCCUGGACCUGUACCAUAUCUAGAACCUGGUUAACAGAGCAUAGAAAAUAAUCAGUGAACCAAGAAUGUCUCAUGCUUCUUUUCAGUCAAAAUUACACAUGUUCACUAAUAUGACUGUCACAGUAAGUUCUUUACGGCGGCCAGCAUACCAUCAGGCCCCACACCACCACCGUAUCCACCCAGUCCGCCACCAACUCCGCCAGGACCUACACCUCCUGGACCAGUUCCAACUCCAAGAGUCCCAACACCCCCAGGACCACCACCGAUGCCUCUGCUUCCAGUUGUGCCUCCAUAGCCUCCAGGUCCAGCUCCAUAACCACCUGGGCCAGCCCCGUAACCUCCGGGUCCCACUCCGUAACCUCCCGGACCAGUACCAAAGCCACCAGGACCAGCUCCAUAUCCGCCAGGUUUUGCGAAUCCUGUUCCUACUCCACCAGCCCCAGGUACCAGGCCUGCUCCUCCAGGACCUCGUCCAGCUGACCCAACUCCUCCUGCAAGUCCACCAGCUCCACCAGCUGCACCUCCUGAUCCAAGUCCAGUUCCAGUAGCAGGACCGUCUCCUCUUCCUACUGCUGUUGCACCACCAGAAACACCUCCUGCUGGUCCUGCUCUGGUAGGUCCCCCUCCUACUCCUCCUGGCCCUCCACCUGUGCCUCCUGUACCACCUCUCUCUCCAUCGGGGCCAUCUUCUCCAUCUCCUUCACCUGGUGUGUCACCUCGAGGGACACCUGCAGACGGAGCCCAGAUGAUCACCAGACCAGUUUUGAGUAUAGAACUAAGACUGGAACCAAGGACUGAGUCUAGGACAAGGGAAUCUAUUCUACUAGGAGCCUGGUGUUGGCCAUGGAGUCUGUGUGCCAUCCUCUGUUAACUUCAGAUCAUUACAUCAUUUGACCUGAAUAUUCAUGCACCGCCUGGUCCAAAGCCACCUGGUCCACCUCCUGUUCCAAUACCAGAACCAGGUGUCCCAGCCACCCCUACUCCUGCUCCAGGUCCACCACCAGUUGUUACUCCAACACCUCGUCCAGGAAACCCUCCUCCUACUCCGAGCCCAGUACCAGGCCCAACCCCACCCCCAAGUCCUCCUGCACCCAGGGCACCUCCAGCACCUCCAGGAAGACCUACACAGAGCAGCAUUUUGUGAGACAACCUUACCUCCAGGUCCAUAGCCAGUGCCAGUACCACCAGGUCCAACUCCACCUGGUCCAUAGCCAGUUCCAGCACCACCGGGUCCAACUCCACCUGGUCCAAAUCCAGUUCCAGCACCACCGGGUCCAACUCCACCUGGUCCAUAGCCAGUGCCAGCACCA